ACGGAAGGCAGCAGUGGGGAAUAUUGGGCGAUGGGCAAAAGCCUGACCCAGCGACGCCGCGUGAGGGAAGAAGAUCUUCGGAUUGUAAACCUUAGUCAACAGGGAAGAAGCAAGUGACGGUACCUGUGGAGGAAGCCACGGCUAACUACGUGCCAGCAGCCGCGGUAAUACGUAGGUGGCGAGCGUUAUCCGGAUUUACUGGGUGUAAAGGGUGUGUAGGCGGAUAUUCAAGUCAGAUGUGAAAACUAUGGGCUCAACCCAUAGCCUGCAUUUGAAACUGUAUAUCUUGAGCGUGAGAGAGGUAAACGGAAUUCCCGGCGUAGCAGUGAAAUGCGUAGAUAUCGGGAGGAACACCAGUGGCGAAGGCGGUUUACUGGACCAUGACUGACGCUGAGACACGAAGGCGUGGGAGCAAACAGGAUUAGAUACCCUGGUA
Molecule: ribosomal RNA, 436 nt
Rfam family: Bacterial small subunit ribosomal RNA